Larimichthys crocea (large yellow croaker) is the source of this 1970-nucleotide long non-coding RNA. RefSeq lists it as uncharacterized. NCBI's taxonomy places the organism in Eukaryota, Metazoa, Chordata, Actinopteri, Sciaenidae. The record is from RefSeq and is a predicted model, not a curated record. The transcript is spliced from 2 exons.
GGGGAAAUCAGAUAUACGGAGCUUUUUUUUGCCCGACGACCACCGAGCCAAUCCCCGUUAUUUCGCACAAAAUGUCUCCGAGGCGACGUCAAGAUGUCGUUUUCGGCUGGAGGACGCUGUCAUACCGCGAUCGGCUGGAGGGGGGAGGGGCCGCGCUAUCACGCCCUGCGUGAAAACACCGCGCCGGGCGGCCGCCGGGGGCGCUGCGGCACCGCCCAGAGAGCCACACCAGCAACUCGCAGGAGCCAGCCCAUUCAUUUGUACACGAGCACGUUACUGCUCAAUUAUGUAUGAAAUCUAAUAGAAAACAUACAUAUUUUAAUGCUGGAUGUUAAUUAAAAACACCAUUCAUCAUUUAAACAGCUCUAUGUUUCAUGUUUAUGAGUUUUAAACUACUUAAAUUAUUAGUUGGGUAUUAAGUUAUGACCCAUAACGGUGGUAGGAUUGCCUCUUUUUUUUUUUUUAAAGGGGACACAAAAAAGCAGGUGUAUUAUAACCUGCAGUCACACAUUCUGAGGUGAACAUUUCACAUGAACUGUUUUGUUUAAUAAUGUAUAAUAAUAAGAAGAAUAUAUCUGUAAAAGCUUCCCCUGUCACAGUGGGAUUGAAGCCUAUCCCAGCUGACUUUGGGUGAGAGGAGGAGUACACCCUCACCAGCUCAUUACAGGGCACAUAGACAAACAUUCACACUUACAUUCACACACUACGGCCAAUUUAGAGUCACCUAUUAAUUGCAUGAUUUUGGACUGUGGGAGACAGCGCUGACCACUGCACCGCCACAAUAACAUGUAUAUAAUAUAUUAUGUGAUAUAUAUUUUUUGGCAUCACCAAAAUAAAGCAGAGCUUUGUGCAUGGUCGUCCUCCUUCCGGAUCAGCACAGCUACAACAGAAAUACACAUGAAAUGCCAGAAAUCGAGUGGUGGCUGUAUUGUAUCACAUUUUUGUCUCUUGUUUGACUGUUUCCCACUUCAUGGCUCAUCUUUAGACAUCUACUCUUACUUUGCUUUUUUGAUGCAGAGUUAAUAACUAAAAGUAAUCACUUUUAUACAUUCUUGCACAUUCCUACUACAGUAUCGUGUACACACACACACACACACACACACACAGUAUGAGCAGCAUUUUUAGUCCAAGCGCUCGACUUUAUUGAGUGUUGGGACUCUCUGGAUGCUUUCCUAAAAUUUGGCCAACCUGUGAUGUGCAUAUAGCCUGGUCACAGACUGAUCUCUGAUUUACUAUUCAGUCUGAUUAUUCAACUAAUCGGCAUGUAUGGUUUGACAUGAACUCAUCUUCACUUUAUACUUCACAGUGCACUCAGCACACAGCUGUUUUCUGCUUGGAGAUUUAUUUCUCUCACGCUGGAAGGAAAAAAAAAGAGUAAUAAAAUCAAAACACUCACACUUACUCAAAUAGACACACAUUGAAUCAAUUUGAUAAUACGUGUCAAUUUUUCAUUGUUUUCUGGCAAAAUCUGACACAUGCACAUGUAUAAAAAAAAAAAAAUCAUAUGUGACAUAAAAUAACUGCAUAUGUACAAACACUGAGUGCUUUGUGCAAAUGUGUACAGAUUACGAUCAUGUGUUGAUAAAUGAUACAUGGGUAAUGUGCACAAAACAUACAUAAUACAUCUCAUCCAUGAACAUAAAACUAAUACACAAAGAUUUUAAAUCAAACAACUCUGUCUAAUUUUUGUCCCAGUGUAAUAAAAAACACAUACGGGUUGAAUUUUCUAGAAAAAUUUAUAAUGAAAGGAUGUGGAGCUGUCACCAUUCAAAUGAGUAAUUAGGCAAUGCUUUUUUGCUGUGAUGUUUGUGACAAGUGCUAAUAAAUCACUAUGCCUUUGUUCCUCUCCCUUAUUUCUCUGUCACAAAGCAGAAUCACACUUCUGGAGUGCAGGACUUCUAGCGACACUUCUUUCCCUCAGCCAAAACGAAAACCCACACGACAUUCAUCAAGAGAAAGAUUAAACAAAA